GGUCGAUGGCAAGUUGAGGGAGGUUAAAUUAGUCCAUUGAGCCCGGGCUCCUGCGGUGAUUCUGAUAUGGAGCCAGGUUUGUGAAUCACCUGACUGGGUAAUAGUGUGUCCGGAAUUGGUGGGUUCUUGGUCUCACUGACUUCAAGAAUGAAGCCACAGACCCUCUCGGUGAGUGUUUAAGUGUUACAGUUCUUAAAGGUGGGGUGUCCGGAAUGUUACUUCUGGUGUUCGGAGUUUCUUUUCUGGUGGGUUCGUGGUCUCCCUGGCUCAGGAGUGAAGCUAUGGACCUUCGUGGUGAGUGUUACAGCUCUUAAGGUGGAGCGUCUGGAGUUGUCUGUCCCUCCCGGUGGGUUCAUGGUCUCACUGGCUUCAGGAGUGAACUGCAGACCUUCGCAGUGAGUGUUACAGCUCAUAAAGGCAGUGUGGACCCAAAAAGUGAGCAGCAGCAAGAUUUAUUGCAAAGAGCAAAAGAACAAAGCUUCCACAGUGUGGAAGGGGACCUGAGCAGGUUGCCACCCCAGUUCAGGCAGCCUGCUUUUAUUCUCUUAUCUGGCCCCACCCACAUCCUGCUGAUUGGUCCAUUUUACAGAGAGCUGAUUGGUCCGUUUUGACAGGGUGCUGAUUGGUGCAUUUACAAUCCCUGAGCUAGACACAAAAGUUCUCCACAUCCCCACUAGAUUAGCUAGAUACAGAAUGCUGACUGGUGUAUUUACAGUCCCUUAGCUAGACAUAAAGGUUCUCCAAGUCCCCACCAGAGUAGCUAGAUACAGUGUCGAUUGGUGCAUUCACAAACCCUG
This 797-nucleotide long non-coding RNA is filed under the name Homo sapiens (human). RNAcentral describes it as "HSALNT0172702". The record is from RNAcentral. Lineage: Eukaryota; Metazoa; Chordata; Mammalia; Primates; Hominidae.